GAUGAAGAACGCAGCAAAAUGCGAUAAGUAAUGUGAAUUGCAGAAUUCAGUGAAUCAUCGAAUCUUUGAACGCACAUUGCGCCCGCCAGUAUUCUGGCGGGCAUGCCUGUUCGAGCGUCAUUUCAACCCUCAAGCACAGCUUGGUGUUGGGACUCGCGUUAAUUCGCGUUCCCCAAAUUGAUUGGCAGUCACGUCGAGCUUCCAUAGCGUAGUAGUAAAACCCUCGUUACUGGUAAUCGUCGCGGCCACGCCGUUAAACCCCAACUUCUGAAUGUUGACCUCGGAUCAGGUAGGAAUACCCGCUGAACUUAAGCAUAUCAAUAAGCGGAGGA
This 332-nucleotide unclassified non-coding RNA is filed under the name soil metagenome. RNAcentral describes it as "partial contains 5.8S ribosomal RNA, internal transcribed spacer 2, and large subunit ribosomal RNA". The stretch from base 1 to 120 matches the Rfam family "5.8S ribosomal RNA", at positions 35 to 154 of the family's 154-position model. The record is from RNAcentral.